UAGCCUACGGGGCGCAGCAGUGGGGGGUAUUGCACAAUGGGCGAAAGCCUGAUGCAGCGACGCCGCGUGAGGGAAGACGGUCCUCUGGAUUGUAAACUACUGUCCCCAGGGACGAAGAUGACGGUACCUGGGGAGGAAGCUCCGGCUAACUACGUGCCAGCAGCCGCGGUAAUACGUAGGGAGCGAGCGUUGUCCGGAAUUACUGGGUGUAAAGGGAGCGUAGGCGGGGAUGCAAGUUGGGUGUUAAAUCUACCGGCUCAACUGGUAGUCGAACUCAAAACUGCAGCUCUUGAGUGAAGUAGAGG
This 305-nucleotide ribosomal RNA is filed under the name uncultured bacterium. RNAcentral describes it as "bacterial SSU rRNA". It matches the Rfam family "Bacterial small subunit ribosomal RNA", at positions 334 to 657 of the family's 1533-position model. The record is from RNAcentral.